Long non-coding RNA from Seriola aureovittata, 1976 nucleotides. RefSeq lists it as uncharacterized. Lineage: Eukaryota; Metazoa; Chordata; Actinopteri; Carangiformes; Carangidae. The record is from RefSeq and is a predicted model, not a curated record. The transcript has 3 exons.
AACGCUGCUCUCUAUAGUAUUACCAUGGCAACAUGCCCAACGCUGUAAAGUUCCCUAGCAACAGCCACGAGCAUGGCAACCACCAAAUAAAACCCCCACAACUGUCGUCUGUGUGAAGCUGAUAUGAUGUGACAGACUUUAUCCAGAGACGACGACGACGACGAGGAUGAUGUGAUGAUGAUGAAGAAGGGAUGAUGCAUUAGAUUAUCAACACAGCUCGGCUCCCGUUGUUCUCACCUGUAUCACCAGUAUAUUGCACUUGCAGGUUGCAGGUCCAGUUCCUCCCAAACCAGCUCCAUGGGGUUUAAGUCAGGAGGACUCGGGACACAACUACAGAGUCCACGGUUCAACGAGGCGUUCACCUGCCGGCGGACAGACUGAAGGUAGUUUAGGGGAAAGGUGUUCGAACCCAGUGACUGAGAAUCUUUGAACUGACAACAAGUGAUUCAUGAUUUCCACCAGGGUUUGAACGUUAGUCCAACUGACUGUGUGAUCCAUCAUCAACAUUUGUAUACGAUUUUAAAUUUCUGAAUAUUUGUAAUAUUCCUUUACCUCCACCUUCAGCCGUGGCCGCACAGAGCAGGUGAUUGACUUGGUUUAUUUGAACAACGCCAUCGAGACUCUGAACCCUGAGUGAUGAAAGAUGGAAGAAGGGCAGAAUGAAGCUGCAGGAGACGACAAAGACUCGCAUGUGGAAAAAAAAAACUUCUUCAUCUUUUUUGGAAAAUGCCACAGGAGCAGCCAGAGCGGGUCGGCUCUUUUCCAGAGCUUGAAAAGAAAACAUGAGUUUAAAAAAGAAAAAGAAAAAAAAAAAAACACAGCCUCCUGACGUGGUUUCCUAAUUUAGAAACAGGUUGUGCUGCUGUCAGACUGCUGAUAAUAAAACUCUGGAAAACGUCCAGAUCACACACUGAGAGUUCCUGAAAAGCAAACAUCUGCGGCGAUGGCGUCAGAGUCUCCCCCCAGGAAAAAAGUCACGAGACCUGGUGGUGUGAAUUCAUGUUCUAAAAUCUAAGAAAUUGAAUGAAUGAAUGUGAGAAAAAUAAUGUUAGGGCAGUCGUCUCUUUUCUAAAUUUACUUCACUUUCUUGAAAACAAAUCAAACACUCAAAAUCUGUUUAGUAAAUUAAAACAAAAAGAUCAGAACUAAUUCCACAGUGUAGAAAUACUCAAAUGAAAGUCAUGAAUUCUGCUUAAGUAAAAGCAUAAUAAAAAUACAUAUAAAAGUAUCAGCAUCAAAAUAUACUUAAAGUACCAAAACUUAAAGUACUCAUGCAGAAUGGGCUAUUUCAGAAUAGUUAUUGAUGCAUCAAUAUGUUCUGGAGUGGAAAAAUGAUGGUUUUAAUGACUUAAACUGCUGUGUAGUUUGAUCUAUCAUAAAACAUCCUAAUUUAUUUAUUGAUUAUAUUUUGUUUUUAAUAAUCUGAAUCCGAAAAGUCACGAAAGUUAUCAAAUACAUGUAGAAGUAUAAAGUAACACUGAAGUACAGUACUUGAGUAAAUGUACUUUUACCACAUGAAAAACUAAUGAGAUUAGGAAAUCUGUAUUUUUAAAUUAUUUCAACUGAAUUUACAUUUAUAAUCCCUGUGAAAAUAAUAAUGUGCUUCAUGCGUGAAAUGAUCAUGUUUUGAUUAUGUUUAUUAUAGUUUGUUCACAUGACUCAGUUUUUCUGCCUCUUUACUUCAUAUUUUAAUGUCAACGGUUUAAUGUUGGUGGACUGUGAAAACAUCAGUGACAACAAGGAAAAUAAAUCCAGACUUUAAUAUCUGAAAAAGUCUGAUAUUUUUUAUUUACGUUAUAUUAUGUUUGUAUAUAUAUAUGUAUAUCUUCUGUAUAUUUUAUAGAGAUUAAAUCAGUAAACCAAACCCAAAUCAUUCAUUAAAUAAAUCCUGAUGAUGAAGCGGUGAGAACCAGUGAAUUCAUUUCAUGAAAAGUAGAAUUUAGUUUUAUUGUCAAAUUUUAAUUGUUCUUUCAUCA